UAAUACAGGGGAUACAAGUGUUAUCCGGAAUUAUUGGGCGUAAAGCGUUUGUAGGUUGAAAGAAAAGUCUUUUGUUAAAUCUUUAAGCUUAACUUAAAAACUGCAAAAGAAACUCUUUUUCUAGAGUAUGGUAAAGGUAAAGGGAAUUUUCAAAGAAGCGGUGAAAUGCGUUGAUAUUGAAAGGAACACCAAUAGCGAAAGCACUUUACUGGGCUAUUACUGACACUGAGAAACGAAAGCUAGGGGAGCAAACAGGAUUAGAUACCCUGGUAGUCCUAGCUGUAAACGAUGGAUACUAGAUGUUAUAUAAAAUUCAAUAAAUAUAGUGUCGUAGCUAACGCGUUAAGUAUCCCGCCUGGGAAGUACGCUCGCAAGAGUGAAACUCAAAUGAAUUGACGG
Molecule: ribosomal RNA, 399 nt
Filed under: uncultured bacterium
Lineage: Bacteria
Description: bacterial SSU rRNA
Rfam family: Bacterial small subunit ribosomal RNA
Source: RNAcentral